Molecule: ribosomal RNA, 490 nt
Filed under: uncultured bacterium
Lineage: Bacteria
Description: partial 16S ribosomal RNA
Rfam family: Bacterial small subunit ribosomal RNA
Source: RNAcentral
AUUGAACGCUGGCGGCAGGCCUAACACAUGCAAGUCGAACGGUAACAGGAAGAAGCUUGCUUCUUUGCUGACGAGUGGCGGACGGGUGAGUAAUGUCUGGGAAACUGCCUGAUGGAGGGGGAUAACUACUGGAAACGGUAGCUAAUACCGCAUAACGUCGCAAGACCAAAGAGGGGGACCUUCGGGCCUCUUGCCAUCGGAUGUGCCCAGAUGGGAUUAGCUAGUAGGUGGGGUAACGGCUCACCUAGGCGACGAUCCCUAGCUGGUCUGAGAGGAUGACCAGCCAAACUGGAACUGAGACACGGUCCAGACUACUACGGGAGGCAGCAGUGGGGAAUAUUGCACAAUGGGCGCAAGCCUGAUGCAGCCAUGCCGCGUGUAUGAAGAAGGCCUUCGGGUUGUAAAGUACUUUCAGCGGGGAGGAAGGGAGUAAAGUUAAUACCUUUGCUCAUUGACGUUACCCGCAGAAGAAGCACCGGCUAACUCCGUG